UGGUCAAGUUAUUAAGGGUGCAGGGCGGAUGCCUUGGCACUAGGAGCCGAUGAAGGACGUGAUAAGCUGCGAUAAGCUUCGGGGAGUUGCACGUAAACUUUGAUCCGAAGAUUUCCGAAUGAGGAAACUCACUUAGAGUAAUGUCUAAGUAUCAUUAAGUGAAUACAUAGCUUAAUGAGGGGAACUCAGGGAACUGAAACAGCUAAGUACCUGAAGGAAGAGAAAGAAAUUCGAUUCCGUAAGUAGCGGCGAGCGAACGCGGAUUAGCCAAAACCAAUAAAGUUUUCUUUAUUGGGGUUGCGGACAUAUCAUAACGAAGAGGUAUCGUAAUUGAAGAGGUUUGGAAAGACCCACCACAGAAGGUAAUAGUCCUGUAUGUUAAACGAGAAGACUUUAGAUAUGAUCCAGAGUACCACGG
This 418-nucleotide ribosomal RNA is filed under the name Clostridioides difficile. RNAcentral's name for it is "bacterial LSU rRNA". It matches the Rfam family "Bacterial large subunit ribosomal RNA", at positions 1 to 420 of the family's 2925-position model. Lineage: Bacteria; Bacillati; Bacillota; Clostridia; Peptostreptococcales; Peptostreptococcaceae. The record is from RNAcentral.